AACUUCUUCAUUAGAGAGUCUCGGAUCCUUUAGAACCAAGGAAUGGAACUAACAUUUGACACGUCUAUCAACUGGAAGGUUUCAUGAGUUCGCUCCUUCGCCAAGAUCUCUCACCGUGUGAUUGUAGCUCAGAAAUUAUUUUUCUUUUGGUGAUGAUCGUGCUGGGCUGGAUGCUUUUUGUUGGGCUAGCUUUCUACAUGGGUACAUUUCCAGAGGCGAUGCCUCCAACUCUAAAGUGGAAAGAGAGGUUGCCUGUUUGGGAGAACAAGGCACGACGAAGGAGCCAAGCCUUGGAGGAGGAGCUGCUGCUCUGUGAAAGAGCCCCAUAAGCAGCCGACAUCUUCAUUCUGUUCCUUUCCCAGGAACGAUGUGGAAGGGAUAUAAAUAUCCCCCAGGAGGGACCCCUUUGGAAGUAAACAAAGAUGACCCUGGUGAAGUCAUGCAGCUAUGAAGAUCACCCAACUGCACAGUUCCUGUUGUAGGUUUCACAUAAAGUAAUCGCACAUUA
This is a non-coding RNA of Peromyscus maniculatus bairdii (prairie deer mouse), 508 nucleotides long. The record is from RefSeq and is a predicted model, not a curated record. NCBI's taxonomy places the organism in Eukaryota, Metazoa, Chordata, Mammalia, Rodentia, Cricetidae.